UACAGAGGGUGCGAGCGUUAAUCGGAAUUACUGGGCGUAAAGCGUGCGUAGACGGCUAUCUAAGUCGGGUGUGAAAGCCCCGGGCUCAACCUGGGAAUUGCAUUCGAGACUGAAUAGCUAGGGUGCGGUAGAGGGAAGCGGAAUUUCCGGUGUAGCGGUGAAAUGCGUAGAUAUCGGAAGGAACUUCAGUGGCGAAAGCGGCUUCCUGGACCAGCACCGACGUUCAGGCACGAAAGCGUGGGGAGCAAACAGG
Molecule: ribosomal RNA, 253 nt
Filed under: uncultured bacterium
Lineage: Bacteria
Description: partial 16S ribosomal RNA
Rfam family: Bacterial small subunit ribosomal RNA
Source: RNAcentral